Molecule: ribosomal RNA, 467 nt
Filed under: uncultured bacterium
Lineage: Bacteria
Description: partial 16S ribosomal RNA
Rfam family: Bacterial small subunit ribosomal RNA
Source: RNAcentral
GACGAACGCUGGCGGCGUGCUUAACACAUGCAAGUCGAACGGAAAGGCCCUGCUUUUGUGGGGUGCUCGAGUGGCGAACGGGUGAGUAACACGUGAGUAACCUGCCCUUGACUUUGGGAUAACUUCAGGAAACUGGGGCUAAUACCGGAUAGGAGCUCCUGCUGCAUGGUGGGGGUUGGAAAGUUUCGGCGGUUGGGGAUGGACUCGCGGCUUAUCAGCUUGUUGGUGGGGUAGUGGCUUACCAAGGCUUUGACGGGUAGCCGGCCUGAGAGGGUGACCGGCAAAAUGGGAACUGAGAAGCGCCCCAGAUUCGUAGGGGGGGGAGCAGGGGGGAAAAUGGCAAAAGGGGCGGACCCUGGCUGGAGAACCGCCGGGGGGGGAAAGACGGCCUUGGGGUUGAAAACCGCUUCCGCCUGUUACGAAGCUUGGGGGCCGUGAUGGGGAAAAAAGCCACCGGAUAACCACUU